Molecule: long non-coding RNA, 1240 nt
Organism: Aedes albopictus (Asian tiger mosquito)
Lineage: Eukaryota; Metazoa; Arthropoda; Insecta; Diptera; Culicidae
Exons: 3
Source: RefSeq, a predicted model, not a curated record
CUGUAAUCUUUUUCGAAUAAUUUUAAAAGAUUAAAAAAGAUUCGAAAAGAUUCAAGAUGAUUCGGCGAGAUUAAUAUAUAAAAAAAAGUGCACCCGUCAGUUUUAUUAAAAUAGCUGGACCAUUUCGUUCAGUGUUUGUUUUGGUUUUGAGUAAUGAAGCGAUCAGCAUAGUCAACAUCAGAUCAGUUCGGGAACUGAAAAUGAACAAAACUGAAGCUGCAGUUCAAGCGCCGUCACCGCUUCACAUACGUAAGGUAAUGCUCCCGCAAUGCGACCGAUAUCCGCGCCAUAAGGAACGUUUCCAUCGCCGGAAAGUUGAUCGAGAUGGCCAUUCAGUCACUGCGAUUCGUUGACCCUCAGGUGUUUACCAAGGCACAUCGUCUGUAGAAACUUUCCCGUAAUGCAGUUCUUCGGCCAAAGCGAAACCAUUGGCUCCGUUUUUCUGUGUAGUCGCUGGUCUACAGAACGCUGAGAUAGCAACGCACGAGACGAUUCGCAAGGAGCGCAACCCGGUGGUCAACCCGAGGCAGGUAAUAUGGAAAUGUUCGAAAGAACGCCAUCGGCAACCCGAAGCAGUUCGUCAUCCUGGCGCACUGCAUCUUUCACAGCAUCCACGGAGUGUGUCCUAUCGUGGCUCGAAAAAGUGAUCGGUCGCCACAUCGAGCUGAUCCGGGUGGCCGACAUCAGUGGUGUUGAUCUAUGCCAUAUAGCGGUCCGAGCUUCCCAGGAGUACUGCAUUGGCCUGUGCCAUAACGAGCAAGAUAUAUGUAUCUCUAUUCUGUCCAAGCAAAAGGAGUACUUCAAGCAUCCGCUGAUCGAAAUAUAGGUGUGUUUUGUGAAUUUUGAUAGCAAACAUGAAUUUGUAGAAUUGUUAUUCCGAAAUGCCUUUUUAUUGGAUAUAGUGGAUACACGUCGGUGAAAAGCAUCUAGAUCUUCAGUUUAUCAUUCAACACAACUUCACACGGAUUCCUCCAAUUAUGUUUGUAGGUAUCGGUUGAUCAUCUUCGUUUCCCGUUCAGCUUAGAGAGCUAUGCAGUGUCGGUAUUGGUUAUCUCAAUUGACUAAUCCUACUAAAAACAGUCCAAUAAACAGGUGACUCCUCCUAAUUCAUGGUGUGAUUAACCCUCCUUGUGCAUUGGGGUCAUUUAUGACCCAAACCGUGCACUACGUCAGCGAGCUGCUGCCAACGUAAUGCAUGAGGAAGGUUAACUCAUGCUUACGGUACCUAGGAAUGAAUUAU